UCACAGAAAUCAGCCUGCCUCAGCCACUGGAAUGCUGGGAUUAAAGGUUGCUGCAUUAAGAAGGCUGAGAACCACUGACUUAAAAAGACCUAAAUCUAGACACACACGGACAUCUGAGGGUUACAAACAAAUAUAGACACCAAGCAGCGCUGUGAAGUAACCCCCACACUCCUAAGACACCCAUGGAAGAGCAAAGGUCAGACUGACUUCCGGUCUGCAAUGGAGAGAGUACCACAUACCAGAAUUUAUACACAGCCCAGGAGACUUUCUUGGUUACACAAGCUGGCUUCCUGAUACUCCCCAGUUUUCUGAGGACGUCUCCUCCGUGUUAUGAAAUACAACCGUGAGACUGAAAAAAUAAACCGUAUGUUUCCAGAAAGAAGGGAAGAAAGGAACAAUACGGCUGUGUGCCCACCAUCUUGGCCACUUCAGGAAGAGAUAAGAUGCAGUCUAAUUUGCAUACAUACUCAGGAGCCCGAAGGAUAACCAGCCACGUUGUACUGGGUGGAGGGUAACUCCUCUCCCUUCUAAAAUGUCUCCUCCUGUGGUCACUCUCUCCUCUCCUAGAAAAGUGGGAAGAGAUGCUGCCAGGUUGGGAUCUCAGAUGUCCGCCACACACCACCUUACAGCCUCACCCUCAACAGUGACACCAUCUGAAGUCUCAAGUUUCCAAGGUCAAAGUUGAUGACAUCUGUAUUUUCAAUGUCCAAGACUUCCUAGGAAGUGACCAUCAAUAUUCAUUACAUCCUGGCAGCUGUCAAGAUGCCUUAGUAUUCUAAAAACUGUGAGCUCUUCUGAGCUGGGUGCCCUGAAGGAAUUCGAUAUACCUGCAGGUUUGGUUACUGUGUCCAUUGGACCGCAGCCAAAGGCCACAGCGCUCCCUUCCUGCAUCUUAAGUGGGUUCUGACGGGAAAUUCUGAUAAAUGCCUAAAGAAGUGAUUGAACUCUGCAGCCCCAACUGUUAGAGUCAAUGGGGAACAUUGAAAAAUGGAACAGUCAUUAACGCCCCUAUGUGCUUAAGCAGAGGAAGGUGUUUGCACUUGGGCUGUGCACGGAACAGCUGUGGAAAGACAGAAAACACGUCAAGAGGACCUGUCUGGAUGCCACCCGUAUCCAAUCGUCCUUCGGAGCUGACUCAGCUCUGGAUAGCAGAGUGAUCAGCUCUGGACUCUGCUCUGGGUAGCUGAAAGAUGAGCUCCGGACUCCCUGCUUUUGGUCCUCUGCUCUCUCAGCUACUUUCCAGUUUAGCUCCCUCUGUCUCUUUCUCCUUCAGUCUUUCAAGGCUUAUCUAUUCUUUGAACUAAAA
This is a long non-coding RNA of Mus musculus (house mouse), 1306 nucleotides long. RefSeq annotates it as predicted gene, 34705. The transcript is spliced from 5 exons. NCBI's taxonomy places the organism in Eukaryota, Metazoa, Chordata, Mammalia, Rodentia, Muridae. The record is from RefSeq and is a predicted model, not a curated record.